UACAGAGGGUGCGAGCGUUAAUCGGAAUUACUGGGCGUAAAGGGCGCGUAGGUGGUUUGUUAAGUUGGAUGUGAAACCCCAGGGCUUAACCUUGGACUGGCAUCUGAUACUGGCAGGCUAGAGUACGAUAGAGGGGUGUGGAAUUUCCUGUGUAGCGGUGAAAUGCGUAGAUAUAGGAAGGAACAUCAGUGGCGAAGGCGACACCCUGGAUUGAUACUGACACUGAGGUGCGAAAGCGUGGGGAGCAAACAGG
Molecule: ribosomal RNA, 253 nt
Filed under: uncultured bacterium
Lineage: Bacteria
Description: partial 16S ribosomal RNA
Rfam family: Bacterial small subunit ribosomal RNA
Source: RNAcentral